CACAGGGAGUGACAUUAACUGAUCUUCAAGAAGCUGAGAAAACAAUAGGAAGAAGUCGUUCUACCCGAACCAGAGAACAAGAAAAUGAAGAAAAAGAAAAAGAGGAAAAAGAAAAACAAGAUAAAGAGAAACAAGAAGAAAAGAAGGAGUCAGAAACAUCUAGAGAAGACGAAUAUAAACAAAAGUACUCCAGAACGUAUGAUGAGACUUACCAGCGUUAUAGGCCAGUAUCAACUUCAAGUUCAACCACUCCAUCCUCUUCACUUUCUACUAUGAGCAGUUCACUCUAUGCUUCAGGUCAACUAAACAGGCCAAAUAGUCUUGUAGGCAUAACUUCUGCUUACUCCAGAGGAAUAACAAAAGAAAAUGAAAGAGAGGGAGAAAAAAGAGAAGAGGAGAAAGAAGGAGAAGAUAAAUCACAACCUAAAUCAAUCAGAGAACGACGACGACCAAGAGAGAAAAGAAGAUCUACAGGAGUUUCAUUUUGGACACAAGAUAGUGAUGAAAAUGAACAAGAACAACAAUCAGACACAGAAGAGGGAUCCAAUAAGAAAGAAACUCAGGUAAAUACCAUUACUUUUUGUAUUAAGUAUUCAUAUUUUUUAAUAAUUACUUUUAAAUUGUGU
Molecule: small RNA, 626 nt
Filed under: Pongo abelii (Sumatran orangutan)
Lineage: Eukaryota; Metazoa; Chordata; Mammalia; Primates; Hominidae
Description: retained intron
Source: RNAcentral